GACGAACGCUGGCGGCGUGCUUAACACAUGCAAGUCGAACGGAAAGGCCCUGCUUUUGUGGGGUGCUCGAGUGGCGAACGGGUGAGUAACACGUGAGUAACCUGCCCUUGACUUUGGGAUAACUUCAGGAAACUGGGGCUAAUACCGGAUAGGAGCUCCUGCUGCAUGGUGGGGUUUGGAAAGUUUCGGCGGUUGGGGAUGGACUCGCGGCUUAUCAGCUGUUGGGGGGGUAGUGGCUUACCAAGGCUUUGACGGGUAGCCGGCCUGAGAGGGUGACCGGCCACAUUGGGACUGAGAUACGGCCCAGACUCCUACGGGAGGCAGCAGUGGGGAAUAUUGCACAAUGGGCGGAAGCCUGAUGCAGCAACGCCGCGUGCGGGAUGACGGCCUUCGGGUUGUAAACCGCUUUCGCCUGUGACGAAGCGUGAGUGACGGUAAUGGGUAAAGAAGCACCGGCUAACUACGUG
This 467-nucleotide ribosomal RNA is filed under the name uncultured bacterium. Its description in RNAcentral is "partial 16S ribosomal RNA". It matches the Rfam family "Bacterial small subunit ribosomal RNA", at positions 28 to 507 of the family's 1533-position model. The record is from RNAcentral.